AUGCCCUCCAACAGAAUGAUACUUGGCGUCUUUGUUCCUCCAAAGUCUGGCGUCAACAUCAUUGAUUCCAAGUGGGUUUUCAAGGUCAAGCGCCAUGCUGAUGGUUCCAUUGAGCGUUACAAGGCACGGUUAGUCGCCAAGGGCUUCAAACAGAGGUAUGGUCUUGAUUAUGAAGACACGUUCAGUCCAGUUAUCAAGCCUACUACCAUUCGGUUACUACUGUCUCUUGCGAUUACUCGUGGAUGGUUCCUUCGUCAGCUUGAUGUACAGAAUGCCUUUCUCCAUGGCAUUCUGGAGGAGGAGAUUUAUAUGCGUCAACCGCCUGGUUUUGUUGAUCCGACACGACCUCAUCAUCUCUGUCGUCUGGUCAAGGCGCUGUAUGGACUGAAACAGGCUCCUCGUGCAUGGCAUGCUCGCCUUGGAUCCGUUCUUCGGGCUCUUGGGUUUACUCCAUCCACUGCUGAUACAUCA
RNAcentral lists this ribosomal RNA (471 nucleotides) under Triticum aestivum (bread wheat). RNAcentral describes it as "partial small subunit ribosomal RNA". Lineage: Eukaryota; Viridiplantae; Streptophyta; Magnoliopsida; Poales; Poaceae. The record is from RNAcentral.